AGUCACUGACAUUAGAUACCCGGGUAGUCCCAGCCGUAAACAAUGUGCGUUAGGUGUGUCGGUAACCACGCGUUACUGAUGCGCCGAAGAGAAGUCGUGAAACGCACCACCUGGGAAGUACGGUCGCAAGGCUGAAACUUAAAGGAAUUGGCGGGGAGCACCACAACAGGUGGAGCCUGCGGUUUAAUUGGAUUCAACGCCGGACAUCUCACCGGAUAAGACAGCUGAAUGAUUGUCAAUCUGAAGGUUUUACAUGACUAGCUG
RNAcentral lists this ribosomal RNA (264 nucleotides) under uncultured archaeon. RNAcentral's name for it is "partial 16S ribosomal RNA". It matches the Rfam family "Archaeal small subunit ribosomal RNA", at positions 719 to 982 of the family's 1478-position model. The record is from RNAcentral.